GGGCUGGGGCUCAGUGGCAGAGUGCUUGCCUCAUAUGUGUGAGGCACUGGGUUCAUUUCUCAGCAGUGCA
RNAcentral lists this transfer RNA (70 nucleotides) under Marmota monax (woodchuck). RNAcentral describes it as "tRNA.Met". Lineage: Eukaryota; Metazoa; Chordata; Mammalia; Rodentia; Sciuridae. The record is from RNAcentral.